UCAACCAUCAAGCUUUGGCUUGCCGUUGGACUUUGCGUAUGCUGGUAUGCCGGCAAUAGCAGGUCUUCAAGGUAGUGGCGGUGUCGUGGCGGACCCCGGAUACAACGAGCUCUCUAUAGCACGUAUCAAGGUGGCCCCCGGUCCAGCCUCACUGGAACCUCAUAUCUAAAA
RNAcentral lists this unclassified non-coding RNA (171 nucleotides) under uncultured Herpotrichiellaceae. RNAcentral's name for it is "sequence contains ITS2". The record is from RNAcentral. Lineage: Eukaryota; Fungi; Ascomycota; Eurotiomycetes; Chaetothyriales; Herpotrichiellaceae.